GACGAACGCUGGCGGCGUGCUUAACACAUGCAAGUCGAACGGAAAGGCCCUGCUUUUGUGGGGUGCUCGAGUGGCGAACGGGUGAGUAACACGUGAGUAACCUGCCCUUGACUUUGGGAUAACUUCAGGAAACUGGGGCUAAUACCGGAUAGGAGCUCCUGCUGCAUGGUGGGGGUUGGAAAGUUUCGGCGGUUGGGGAUGGACUCGCGGCUUAUCAGCUUGUUGGUGGGGUAGUGGCUUACCAAGGCUUUGACGGGUAGCCGGCCUGAGAGGGUGACCGGCCACAUUGGGACUGAGAUACGGCCCAGACUACUACGGGAGGCAGCAGUGGGGAAUAUUGCACAAUGGGCGGAAGCCUGAUGCAGCAACGCCGCGUGCGGGAUGACGGCCUUCGGGUUGUAAACCGCUUUCGCCUGUGACGAAGCGUGAGUGACGGUAAUGGGUAAAGAAGCACCGGCUAACUACGUG
Molecule: ribosomal RNA, 468 nt
Filed under: uncultured bacterium
Lineage: Bacteria
Description: partial 16S ribosomal RNA
Rfam family: Bacterial small subunit ribosomal RNA
Source: RNAcentral